Molecule: ribosomal RNA, 492 nt
Filed under: uncultured bacterium
Lineage: Bacteria
Description: partial 16S ribosomal RNA
Rfam family: Bacterial small subunit ribosomal RNA
Source: RNAcentral
AGUGAACGCUGGCGGUAGGCCUAACACAUGCAAGUCGAACGGCAGCACAGUAAGAGCUUGCUCUUACGGGUGGCGGGUGGCGGACGGGUGAGGAAUACAUCGGAAUCUACUUUUUCGUGGGGGAUAACGUAGGGAAACUUACGCUAAUACCGCAUACGACCUACGGGUGAAAGCAGGGGAUCUUCGGACCUUGCGCGAUUGAAUGAGCCGAUGUCGGAUUAGCUAGUUGGCGGGGUAAAGGCCUACCAAGGCGACGAUCCGUAGCUGGUCUGAGAGGAUGAUCAGCCACACUGGAACUGAGACACGGUCCAGACUCCUACGGGAGGCAGCAGUGGGGAAUAUUGGACAAUGGGCGCAAGCCUGAUCCAGCCAUACCGCGUGGGUGAAGAAGGCCUUCGGGUUGUAAAGCCCUUUUGUUGGGAAAGAAAAGCAGCAGGUUAAUACCCCGCUGUUCUGACGGUACCCAAAGAAUAAGCACCGGCUAACUUCGUG